AACGAACGCUGGCGGCAUGCCUAACACAUGCAAGUCGAACGAGACCUUCGGGUCUAGUGGCGCACGGGUGCGUAACGCGUGGGAACCUGCCCUUAGGUUCGGAAUAACUCCCCGAAAGGGGUGCUAAUACCGGAGAAUGUCUUCGGACCAAAGAUUUAUCGCCUUUGGAUGGGCCCGGGUUGGAUUAGCUAGUUGGGAGGGUAAAAGCCUACCAAGGGGACGAUCGAUAGCGGGUUUGAGAGGCAGAUCCGCCACACUGGGACUGGGCCACGGCCCGGACUCCUACGGGAGGCAGCAGUGGGGAAUCUUGGACAGUGGGCGAAAGCCUGAUCCACCAAUGCCGCGUGAGUGAUGAAGGCCUUAGGGUUGUAAAGCUCUUUUACCCGGGAUGAUAAUGACAGUACCGGGAGAAUAAGCUCCGGCUAACUCCGUG
This 433-nucleotide ribosomal RNA is filed under the name uncultured bacterium. RNAcentral's name for it is "partial 16S ribosomal RNA". It matches the Rfam family "Bacterial small subunit ribosomal RNA", at positions 29 to 507 of the family's 1533-position model. The record is from RNAcentral.